CUACGGGUGGCUCCAGUGAGGAAUAUUGGACAAUGGUCGAAGGACUGAUCCAGCCAUGCCGCGUGCAGGAUGAAUGCCCUAUGGGUUGUAAACUGCUUUUAUACGGGAAGAACACCACCCACGUGUGGGUGACUGACGGUACCGUAAGAAUAAGGACCGGCUAACUCCGUGCCAGCAGCCGCGGUAAUACGGAGGGUCCAAGCGUUAUCCGGAAUCAUUGGGUUUAAAGGGUCCGUAGGCGGGCUAUUAAGUCAGAGGUGAAAGUUUGCAGCUCAACUGUAAAAUUGCCUUUGAUACUGGUAGUCUUGAGUUAUAGUGAAGUGGUUAGAAUAUGUGGUGUAGCGGUGAAAUGCAUAGAUAUCACAUAGAAUACCAAUUGCGAAGGCAGAUCACUAACUAUAUACUGACGCUGAUGGACGAAAGCGUGGGGAGCGAACGGGAUUAGAUACCCUUGUAGUC
RNAcentral lists this ribosomal RNA (459 nucleotides) under uncultured bacterium. Its description in RNAcentral is "partial 16S ribosomal RNA". It matches the Rfam family "Bacterial small subunit ribosomal RNA", at positions 339 to 795 of the family's 1533-position model. The record is from RNAcentral.